AUGCCUCGGUUCACCUGCUUCCUGAUGUCCAAUUAUUUUUUGUUGUUGCUAUAUUCAACCUCAUCUCUGAAAGCCUACACCUUCCUGUGCUGUUGCUAUAUUCACGAGUUUGACAGGAGAAGGGACUGGAGGCAUACAGUAGGCAGAACAGUGGAACAAAACUCAGCUUCAAUUAAUCGACAUGGUGUUCGCAAAUGGAAAGUCGUUCCUGCUGCUACAGUUCAUUGGUUCAAGUCCGACACUGAGCUCACAAUGGACGUUGAGUUGGUGGACACAAUGGACAAUAAGCCCAUGAAGCUCCAGAAGUCCAGAUUUGGAUACGUCUUGGAUGUGACUAAUUGUAUGACAUGCCGAUAUCUGGCGAGCCUGGUGUGUUCUGUUUUCUCACACCCGCCGCCGUCGCACAAGGUGAUUGUUGGACGUGAGCGAGCUUCAGGAGCACUUCCUACAGUUUUACUGAUCUGGACACACCACCUUCUCAGGUCUAAAAUUUUGAGUUUUCAGGUCUAA
RNAcentral lists this ribosomal RNA (510 nucleotides) under Triticum aestivum (bread wheat). RNAcentral describes it as "partial small subunit ribosomal RNA". The record is from RNAcentral. Lineage: Eukaryota; Viridiplantae; Streptophyta; Magnoliopsida; Poales; Poaceae.